This 369-nucleotide ribosomal RNA is filed under the name uncultured bacterium. Its description in RNAcentral is "partial 16S ribosomal RNA". It matches the Rfam family "Bacterial small subunit ribosomal RNA", at positions 338 to 704 of the family's 1533-position model. The record is from RNAcentral.
CCUACGGGUGGCAGCAGUGAGGAAUAUUGGUCAAUGGGCGCGAGCCUGAACCAGCCAAGUCGCGUGAGGGAAGACGGUCCUAUGGAUUGUAAACCUCUUUUGUCGGGGAGCAAAAGACGCCACGCGUGGCGUUCCGAGAGUACCCGAAGAAAAAGCAUCGGCUAACUCCGUGCCAGCAGCCGCGGUAAUACGGAGGAUGCGAGCGUUAUCCGGAUUUAUUGGGUUUAAAGGGAGCGUAGGCCGCAUGGCAAGCGUGCUGUGAAAUGUGCGGGCUCAACCCGGGCCUUGCCGCGGGAACUGGCGUGCUGGAGUGCGCGGAGAGCAGGCGGAAUUCGUGGUGUAGCGGUGAAAGGCUUAGAGAUGACGAAG